CCGCCCCGCACGGGCCGCACUAUGCGUGUACGCAUGCGCCCACUAGUCCAAGCAUCUUAUGGGGCGCUUUGCGCAUGUGCCAUUUCGACGCUGAUGGAGAGGGCUUGAGCUUCUAGUUUCUGGAAUUCCCAGCCUCGUUCUCGCUUCCCGGCUCGGUGGUGCCUGCGGCCUUCCCAGCUGCUGCGGUGUCACGCUGCACGCGCUGUGGGCGGGAACGGGGGGAUUGUAUGAGGCAGCCUGGAACCGUCAGUUUCCCGCCUCGCGAGUGCGCGCGACGCCCGCUUGGCGCUUUGGGUGAGCGCUGUGUCCCGCUGUCCUCAGGUCGCCCGCGCGGGCCAUCCACGGCGUCGGCUCCGUCCGCAGGCCGCUGUCUCCUGUGCUGAGGAGACUGGUAGCAGUAUAAGUGUGAGAAGUUAGAAUGACAGCCACCACCUUUAUAAAAUGCUUCAAGACCUUUUAUUCAGUGUGAAGACAGUCUGAAGCUCAUUUGGAAACCUGCUCUUUGUACACGUGAGAAUAAACUGGCUGCAUUGCUUUGGAUGUUUGUUCUCUGUAGAACACGGCAAUCCACUAGAACAACUCAGCAUGAAUUCUCUUACUGAAUAAACCCUCUGUCAUAGGAGUUGAGACUUUCCAACAUAGAGCAACACCAUUCAAUCACGUCAUCUGUG
This is a long non-coding RNA of Chelonia mydas (Green sea turtle), 671 nucleotides long. RefSeq lists it as uncharacterized. NCBI's taxonomy places the organism in Eukaryota, Metazoa, Chordata, Testudines, Cheloniidae. The record is from RefSeq and is a predicted model, not a curated record. The transcript is spliced from 3 exons.